RNAcentral lists this long non-coding RNA (335 nucleotides) under Brassica rapa (field mustard). RNAcentral's name for it is "long non-coding RNA (BRAP_LNC000620)". The record is from RNAcentral. Lineage: Eukaryota; Viridiplantae; Streptophyta; Magnoliopsida; Brassicales; Brassicaceae.
GGGUCAGCUGACCCCCCCUCCUCGUAUGCUGCCUCCGCCCCUGUGCGGAUUUCAAAAAAAAAAAAAUUACGCACCGCGAAAUAGUCACCAUUCAUUACCUAUAUCUCUGUUUUCUUUCUCACUUUUCUUGUGUUUGCUUUUGGAUAAUUAUAAGUUCACAACCGUAUGCAAUUAAUUAUUUAGUCCAUUACUGGGGGACACAUUCAUCACUGGUCCCUUUAUAAAAAUCACCCGUCCAAAUCAAUUUUAUAGCUCAUAUUUCCAAGUAUAUUUGGCGAUGAUUUGGCCAAAAAAAUCUCCCAUGUAUUGAUAGAUUGUGGGACAUGCAAGAAAAC